UCACAGGCCCCUGCAUAUGGGUGAAAAGUACCUCAGCCACAAGAGCAGCCCUGGGCGGAAAUGCCUGCAUCUUCUCCUCCCGUAUACUGAUGCUGCCAUCCACCUCGCAACUCUGCUAAGUCGUAGAAUACUGACAUGACUAUUGUGAGCAUGACGUAUGUAAGUCGUAUUUUUUUUUUCCCACAAUGUGGCUAUGGAAAGAAAUUUACAGCAUCCUCUUUGUCUUACAUAUAUGAACUUUAAAUCUGUUUAAUAUAAUGUGUUGCUUUGAGAUUGAGAUGUUGGGGCCUUUCAGCCAUUUUUUAUGCAUUAUGUAUCUAUGUAGCUGCUGUUCACAGUUAUUCUGUCGGUCAUAAACUGGCAACAGUGUAGCUUUUGAUUUUGUUAGCUGAAUCUCUCUUAUAUGGAGAUAUCCAGGGGAUUUAAGAAUAUUUUCUACUUUAAAUUGCUUGUACUCUUGAAUUUAUUCACACAGAAAUGUAGUCUAAGUAUUGGUGUAAUUUGUACCCUCUUGUAUUUGAUCUUUGUUUUUUCUAUGUGAACCAGGCUUCAUCAAAAAGUUCUAGUAAUAAUAUCUGUGAAAUGUGUGGACAGGAAUUUGAAUCAAGGUAUGCUUGAAGUACUUCAUUAAUAUUUGCUAGUUUGGAUAUUCUCUGUAGUAUGUCCUUCAAUCACUGAUCUUUGCAUUGGUGCCAUUAUUGUACAGGACUAAACUAAGAAUUUGGGAUGCUGCCUGCUCUGUUGGGUUGCCAUUGUCAAUCCCAGAGCAGAGCGAAGUCCAGUACACAUUGUUGUCAUGUGUAUUCUUGACAAUUUUGAUUUUUGACAUGUAUGAUUCUUUUAUCUAAGCCAAGAAGCC
RNAcentral lists this long non-coding RNA (859 nucleotides) under Daucus carota (carrot). RNAcentral describes it as "long non-coding RNA (DCAR_LNC004006)". The record is from RNAcentral. Lineage: Eukaryota; Viridiplantae; Streptophyta; Magnoliopsida; Apiales; Apiaceae.